Molecule: ribosomal RNA, 252 nt
Filed under: uncultured Bacteroidales bacterium
Lineage: Bacteria; Pseudomonadati; Bacteroidota; Bacteroidia; Bacteroidales
Description: partial 16S ribosomal RNA
Rfam family: Bacterial small subunit ribosomal RNA
Source: RNAcentral
UACGGAGGAUGCGAGCGUUAUCCGGAUUUAUUGGGUUUAAAGGGUGCGUAGGCGGGACCUUAAGUCAGCGGUAAAAUUGCGGUGCUCAACGCCGUAGAGCCGUUGAAACUGGCGGGCUGGAGUUGGAGAGAAGUACGCGGAAUGCGCGGUGUAGCGGUGAAAUGCUUAGAUAUCGCGCAGAACCCCGAUUGCGAAGGCAGCGUACCGGCUCCACACUGACGCUGAGGCACGAAAGCGUGGGGAGCAAAUAGG